GCAAGAGCUGGCUGGAGGGAAUGGGUUCAUGGCUCCAUGGUAGUCAUCUUUAAGAGAGCAAAAGUCACUUAAUGCGCAGAACGAGAGUGCCACAGAGACUCUGUGUUUAGAAAAAAACUCAGAGUCAUUACAUGAUGUAUAAAGCAGCUGUGGGAUGGGGGGGUGAUUGCCAGGAAGUUUUUUUGGAAGCUUUUUAGUUUUUCCCCAGGAGAGAGCUGUUCUACCUCCACCCAAGAGUAAAGACUGAUGAAGCAAAACACAACAAAACAAACAAUAAGAAGAAAAAAAGUUGGGAAAUAAAUGUAUAACGGUUGUUGCUUGCUUGCUUUCCUACUGUUUUCAGUUAGACUGACUAACAUAAUUACAUAAUUGAGACAUACAUGGUUCCUUAAAAUUAUCAAAGAUAUGAGUAAAAUGUUGUGAAUGUGUGUAAAUCAUAAUGAAACCCAUUUGAACUAUUGUCUAUAAGUCCAGAAGUGUGUAAAUUAAAAUAAAGAACAGGGGAGUAUUAUUAAAGACAUAACCAACUCCUUACAGGAACCAGUCAACGCAGAAACACUGAAAAAGUUAUCCACCUCAGUUGUCAAGGGCAACCUGCACGUGAGACGUCUGACAAGCUGCGUAAAUUGCUGCAUUCAGCCUUCUAUUUGGGAAAAUUUCCCCCGACAGAUAACUUUGUCAACUUCCAUUUCAUCCAAUAAAGAGUCUCAAAUAUCCUGCCUUGAUCCCUCGGUAAUCCCAAAACCGACUUCUUCUAGGAGCUUUAGUCACCAAUCAAACUAUUCUGAACUUGGCAGUCUACUAUGAACGAAAUCUCUCCAAUACUCCUAUAAUACUCCUACAUAUGACAGUUUCAGAAAAUUUAGUUCAAUUUUAUUUAUACAGCACCAAAUCCCAACAACGGUCGCCUCAAGGUGCUUUAUCUUGUAAGGUAGACCCCACAAUAAUACAUAGAGAGAAAAACCC
RNAcentral lists this long non-coding RNA (966 nucleotides) under Oreochromis niloticus (Nile tilapia). RNAcentral's name for it is "lncRNA (ENSONIG00000042474.1)". The record is from RNAcentral. Lineage: Eukaryota; Metazoa; Chordata; Actinopteri; Cichliformes; Cichlidae.